AUUGAACGCUGGCGGCAGGCCUAACACAUGCAAGUCGAGCGGAUGAAGGGAGCUUGCUCCUGGAUUCAGCGGCGGACGGGUGAGUAAUGCCUAGGAAUCUGCCUGGUAGUGGGGGAUAACGUCCGGAAACGGGCGCUAAUACCGCAUACGUCCUGAGGGAGAAAGUGGGGGAUCUUCGGACCUCACGCUAUCAGAUGAGCCUAGGUCGGAUUAGCUAGUUGGUGGGGUAAAGGCCUACCAAGGCGACGAUCCGUAACUGGUCUGAGAGGAUGAUCAGUCACACUGGAACUGAGACACGGUCCAGACUCCUACGGGAGGCAGCAGUGGGGAAUAUUGGACAAAGGGCGAAAGCCUGAUCCAGCCAUGCCGCGUGUGUGAAGAAGGUCUUCGGAUUGUAAAGCACUUUAAGUUGGGAGUAAGGGCAGUAAGUUAAUACCUUGCUGUUUUGACGUUACCAACAGAAUAAGCACCGGCUAACUUCGUG
This 484-nucleotide ribosomal RNA is filed under the name uncultured bacterium. RNAcentral describes it as "partial 16S ribosomal RNA". It matches the Rfam family "Bacterial small subunit ribosomal RNA", at positions 30 to 507 of the family's 1533-position model. The record is from RNAcentral.